AACGGCCCACCAAACCUACGAUGGAUAGGGGUUCUGAGAGGAAGGUCCCCCACAUUGGAACUGAGACACGGUCCAAACUCCUACGGGAGGCAGCAGUGAGGAAUAUUGGUCAAUGGACGAGAGUCUGAACCAGCCAAGUAGCGUGAAGGAUGACUGCCCUAUGGGUUGUAAACUUCUUUUAUACGGGAAUAAAGUGAGCCACGUGUGGCUUUUUGUAUGUACCGUAUGAAUAAAGAUCGGCUAACUCCGUGCCAGCAGCCGCGGUAAUACGGAGGAUCCGAGCGUUAUCCGGAUUUAUUGGGUUUAAAGGGAAGCGUAGGCAGGUUGUUAAGUCAGUUGUGAAAGUUUGCGGCUCAACCGUAAAAUUGCAGUUGAUACUGGCGACCUUGAGUGCAACAGAA
This 401-nucleotide ribosomal RNA is filed under the name uncultured bacterium. RNAcentral describes it as "bacterial SSU rRNA". It matches the Rfam family "Bacterial small subunit ribosomal RNA", at positions 259 to 656 of the family's 1533-position model. The record is from RNAcentral.